This 253-nucleotide ribosomal RNA is filed under the name uncultured bacterium. RNAcentral's name for it is "partial 16S ribosomal RNA". It matches the Rfam family "Bacterial small subunit ribosomal RNA", at positions 524 to 776 of the family's 1533-position model. The record is from RNAcentral.
UACAGAGGGUGCGAGCGUGAAUCGGAAUUACUGGGCGUAAAGCGUGCGUAGACGGCUAUCUAAGUCGGGUGUGAAAGCCCCGGGCUCAACCUGGGAAUUGCAUUCGAGACUGAAUAGCUAGGGUGCGGUAGAGGGAAGCGGAAUUUCCGGUGUAGCGGUGAAAUGCGUAGAUAUCGGAAGGAACAUCAGUGGCGAAAGCGGCUUCCUGGACCAGCACCGACGUUCAGGCACGAAAGCGUGGGGAGCAAACAGG